RNAcentral lists this microRNA precursor (92 nucleotides) under Aquilegia coerulea. RNAcentral describes it as "Aquilegia caerulea miR398a stem-loop (aqc-MIR398a)". Its record names the gene aqc-MIR398a. It matches the Rfam family "MIR398 microRNA precursor family", at positions 7 to 104 of the family's 109-position model. The record is from miRBase by way of RNAcentral. Lineage: Eukaryota; Viridiplantae; Streptophyta; Magnoliopsida; Ranunculales; Ranunculaceae.
CCUGGAGGAGUGGCACUAAGAACACAGGUGGUUGUGCGAUUUCGAAUAUCAUUGCAUUUUGCAUUUGUGUUCUCAGGUCACCCCUUUGGGGA